AUUGAACGCUAGCGGGAUGCCUUACACAUGCAAGUCGAACGGAGUGGCGAACGGGUGAGUAAUGUAUCGGAACGUGCCCAGUAGCGGGGGAUAACUACGCGAAAGCGAAGCUAAUACCGUAUCCUAUUGGAGCGGCCGUUAUCGGAGUAGCUAGUUGGUGGGGGAACGGCUCACCGAGGCGACGAUCCGUAGCUGGUUUGAGAGGACGACCAGCCACACUGUAACGGAGACACGGCCCAGACUCCUCCGGUAGGCAGCAGUGGGGAAUUUUGGACAAUGGGGGAAACCCUGAUCCAGCCAUCCCGCGUGUACGAUGAAGGCCUUCGGGUUGUAAAGCACUUUUGGCGGGAAAGCGGUACCUGCAGAAUAAGCACCGGCUAACUACGUGCCAGCCGCCGCGGUAAUUC
Molecule: ribosomal RNA, 407 nt
Filed under: uncultured bacterium
Lineage: Bacteria
Description: partial 16S ribosomal RNA
Rfam family: Bacterial small subunit ribosomal RNA
Source: RNAcentral